ACACAUUCCAGCCAAUCAGCAGCAGACCCUCCCUCCCAGACCCUCCCACCUCCUGGACAGCAUCCAUUUUACAUUCAUUGUGAAGCUGUAUUCUUAGUGAGCUGUCCAGGAGGUGGGAGGGUCUGGGAAGGAGGGUCUGCUGCUGAUUUGCUGGAAUGU
This 159-nucleotide microRNA precursor is filed under the name Pelobates cultripes (western spadefoot toad). The record is from RNAcentral. Lineage: Eukaryota; Metazoa; Chordata; Amphibia; Anura; Pelobatidae.